GCAAGUCGUACGAGGAAUCCUAGGCAACCCGGGAGAGUAAAGUGGCGCACGGGUGAGUAACGCGUGGGUAAUCUACCUUGGAGUUGGGAAUAACACCUCGAAAGGGGUGCUAAUACCCGAUACGGUCCUCGGAGUUUCGGCUCUGAGGAUAAAAGAUGGCUGAGGCUUGCAAGCUAUUGCUCCAAGAUGAGCCCGCGUACCAUUAGCUAGUUGGUAGGGUAAUGGCCUACCAAGGCAAUGAUGGUUAGCUGGUCUGAGAGGAUGACCAGCCACACUGGAACUGAGAUACGGUCCAGACUCCUACGGGAGGCAGCAGUGAGGAAUCUUGCGCAAUGGGGGCAACCCUGACGCAGCAACGCCGCGUGAGUGAUGAAGGCCUUCGGGUCGUAAAGCUCUGUCAGGUGGGAAGAAAGGUUUCAGGGUAAAUAAUCCUGGAAAUUGACGGUCCACCAGAGGAAGCACCGGCUAACUCCGUGCCAGCAGCCGCGGUAAUACGGAGG
This 500-nucleotide ribosomal RNA is filed under the name uncultured bacterium. RNAcentral's name for it is "bacterial SSU rRNA". It matches the Rfam family "Bacterial small subunit ribosomal RNA", at positions 57 to 531 of the family's 1533-position model. The record is from RNAcentral.